CUGAACCAGCCAAGUAGCGUGAAGGAUGACUGCCCUAUGGGUUGUAAACUUCUUUUAUACGGGAAUAAAGUGAGGCACGUGUGCCUUUUUGUAUGUACCGUAUGAAUAAGGAUCGGCUAACUCCGUGCCAGCAGCCGCGGUAAUACGGAGGAUCCGAGCGUUAUCCGGAUUUAUUGGGUUUAAAGGGAGCGUAGGCGGGUUGUUAAGUCAGUUGUGAAAGUUUGCGG
This 227-nucleotide ribosomal RNA is filed under the name uncultured bacterium. RNAcentral describes it as "partial 16S ribosomal RNA". It matches the Rfam family "Bacterial small subunit ribosomal RNA", at positions 383 to 607 of the family's 1533-position model. The record is from RNAcentral.